GGCUGUACAAUACAGUAACCAAUAGGUUAUUAGGGUCCAGGGUGGUCCAACUUAGAGCUCGUGCCAAGUGUGCUUGUGGGAAUCCUCAGGAAACAGAUGUUACUGCCAGAUUCUGCCUCUGAAAAAAGGUCUGGGCUCAACAAGUAGCUUCAGUGAGUCAAAGGUGUCUGCGUCUCUGCAUGAAGAUGGUGAAAGCUCAGACACUGAGAGAAUGUCAAGCUCGUAAAACCCACCAUCUAGGCAUUUGGAUGGCUUGGGAAGAACGUGGCAAGCACAGAAGAAUUAAACACUUUACUGAACAUACUGUGUGCAAAUCUUGCUGUAAUAGUUCAGCUCGUCUUAUGAGACCAGAUCACCUGACAGUAAUACAAGAAAGAAAACAAAAGACCUGAGCAAACCUGAAAUAUUUUUAAAAAAAUAAUUAAAAAAUCUCAUCCAUCUAUUAUAAAUCUAAUCAUGUAAGUGAUUACUUCCUGGUUUUGUUUUCCCAAAGCUGUGCCUUUCUAAACCGAAAGAGUUAGGAAGCCUCUGUUGCAUUUCCAGGUCUGGAACCCCCAUGACCAAUACUUUUCAGAGCAUCCUUCGUGGUAGAUUACAGGCAAGUCUGAGAGGGCCUAACUUGUGACACAGAAAUUUUGCCACCUUUCAUGGUUUUGUGCCAAACACAGCUCAUUUAAUGUGGGACAGGCAGGAGAAGAGUGAGCAUAAUAUUGCUUCUUGAAAGAGCUUCUCAUUGCUUCUUGGGGAGCAUGAGGUUUCAGCCAAGGGAUCAGGGCACUGAAAGAUGAAACACAGGCCACAGUCUUUGCCUGAAGCAGUAACUCUGAUUAUUAUUAGAUAAAAUAAGUCACUGGAAUAGGAAUGGAAAUCCAAGCCUUCUCUCUUUCCACGAGAAUAUUUAAAUGUUCAUGAUGGAUUGGAAUUUAAAAUCAUCCUUGAACUCAGUGACCACUUCCUGGCAUACCCUGCUUUAGCACACUGUAUUUUGUAGCUCCUCUUUGACAAGAAAUUCAUUUGCCUGAGAACUACCUUUGAAAUACUCAGCUUUAUGUUGUCAUAGCUUCUUUGCAAAACUGCCUAUAGUACUAACAAGUCUAUGCAAGGUCCCAUGCAUCACUCAGACUUACAGCAUUUUAUAGACAGUGCAGGAGAGCUACAAGAGUCAUUUUAAAAACCGUUUGCUGUUUCAAUAAAACAAAAUAUCUAAAUAUGACGUAUUAUACGAAGCAGACAACACCUUACAGCUAAACAGUAAAAUGAAAAUGAAAUCUAUAUAACUGUGAUCAAAGUGAAAAUAUCAUUCACUCAUAAUUCUAAAGUAAAAAGAAUAAAAAGAGCUUGUUAGGCUAUGGUCUGCAGAUAAGGACUAAGCUGAGAAAAGGAAGCUCAAAUGUCUGAGACUUUUAGUUAAAAAAUAAAGAGUACACAAAUACAGGAACUUUUAACACACCAGAAUAUUCUCAAGGUUGAAUUAAAAUAUUGCUCACCUUUCAGCACUGUAUAAAAGACACUGUUAAAAUAAAUGGUGCUAAUUUAGUGUGAGUAUAAAAUGACCUGAUUGACAGCUGCGGGGAAUUUUGUUCAGAAAACAGUACUAGAAAGGCAAAUUUCCCUACAUUGUCAUCAUCAAUGUACCUUACCUAAAAAGAGCUAUCAUAGGGGUAAUUACUGCGUCAAACCUGCUUGUAUUUUUUAUCUUUUUUCGGUCACAUGGCUUCUGUCUCACUUGGUUUUAGAUUGAUACUGUCAGGCUCGUUACAUCUAGCCCAGCAAGCAGGCACUGUAUCACACUGGGCAGAAUAUUUUGAGGAGUGUGACAGACCCCAGACCAAAUAUCAAUGUUUUUGGCACUCUGUAAGUGGAUCUGUGCACUGCCAAGAGGUGCAGCAUGGCAGGCAGCAAAGCAGUUGGUGUGGACAGACAUCUCCAUGCCCUGCCCUGCCCACAUCCGUGCCUGUGCCCACGCUCAUGCCUUGCCCGUGCCUCAGUCGUGCAGUUUGGUCUCAGACUAGCUCAGCCCUACUCCAGAGCUGUCCCUGGGGUUUUCUCAGCCUAGAGGUGCCCUGGGGCCUCCCUUGUGGGUGAGGUGCUGCUGCAGGGAACCUGGUUUGUAUAUUCUGAGCCCGCGCCACUGUGUGAGCUGUGGCACAGUAAACUGGGGUGAUCCCUAAAUUUGCUCCCUAAAAAGCAUGCUUGUGGUACAAGCUGGAAGGCUGACUGUGGUGGCUCCUCCACUUCAGCUACAGAUCUCACUGGCUGAAAUUAACUGCAGGUGUGAAAAAAACCCAUAGAAGUCAAGAACUGGCCCAGAGGGUAAACUUCGAUUUAAAUAUUUUGUUUGCAUUUGUAUUGGGUGCAGGUGUCAAGGAGUGGUCUCUGUGAAGAGGGGCUGGAUCUGCUCCAUGCCAGACACAGCUGGCUCCAGCCAACUCCAUCUGACCCUCUCCAGGGCAUGGCUGAGUCCCAGAGUCACAUAUAAAAGGAGAGGCUGAAAGUGCCAAAUGGAGACAGGAGGAGGGAACAAACAGAGAAAUAGAGGAGGCAAGGUCAGAGGAGCAGGAGGAAGGAGAAGGUAUUCCCUGGCACCAGAGCAAGCAUCCACCUCAGCCUGUGCAGAACUCCAUGUCAUAGCAUGGGGCUGUUCCCAGAGGAGCUGCCACCACGGAGGGGCAGAGGGAAGAUGUGAGAAGGAGGGAGCUGCAGAGAGAAACUGCUGAGUGCCAACUGUGACCUCCUGAGCUGCCCUGAACUGGAGGUGUGAAGUUAACCCUGAGAAAAAGAGGAAGUGUUGUUUUAAAGUUUGUGUAUUUUAUUUUUCCAAUUAAAUUUUUACUUUGAUUGACAAUAAUUUUAUUUAAUUUUCCCCAGCUUGAAUCUGUCCACAAAGGUAACUGAUAAAUGAUGUCCCUGUCCUUAUGUGAACAUGGGAACAUUCUUGUUCUUGUUUUUCCUGUUUUCUUCCCCCACCACACUGAAAGAGGCACCUGCUUUCUUUUCAGGACUGAAGUUAGUUCAUGCUCUUCAAGGAAGGACUGGAUUUUGACACCUACUUCCAGUUGAUGGGUCACAAAGAAGAGUCCCAAUCCUGCAGUGAAGCUCCAAAACCCCAGAGAAGGAGGAAGUACAGAACAUAACCUUCUCUGCUGCACUUCCCACCUGCAAACUUAUUCAGAUUUCUGGUAUGAGUCAUAACCUUUGAUGCCUGAUUUGCAACAUGCACGUUUCAGGACUGUACAGGCAGCCCAGGAACAGAAGUCAGAACUGUGAACUCCCCUAUAUUAACAAAAUUACUCAUUACUGAGGCCGUAUUGAUGAACAUUUCACUGCCUAAGCUUUUGUGUAACUUCAAUCCUGUACCACAUGUUUUCCUGCUCCAUUCUCUGAAGCAAUUGUUUCUGGACACUUCCAUGCAGGACAUCAGGCUCCAGAAACCUGUUGGUUUGCACCAACUUUUGUUUUCUGUUGAUCUGCUCUAAACCAGUCGAUGUAAGCUUUUUUUGAAAUUACACAUUCAAAAUUUUCUCCUAAAUACACCUCACUAUUUCUUCUGCUUCCCCAAGUAAACCUACAUUCUUUUAGGCAACUCCUAUGGCACAGUUAAUGUAAGAUCAUUUUUAGUGUUCAGAUAAAGUCACACUUACCUAUUAUCAGAGGCUCAACACAUUUUGUCAGAUCUUUGGCAGAACUUGAAAAAGAUACUAAAUUACUAUGAGAAAGCUUUAGCUUUAUGUGGUCUGAAGAUAGAUGGCAAAUAAAAAAAAGACAGAGUAUGCCUGUGCUGGAGUUGUAACUUAAUGCAUUGCUAACAUCUGCUUCCUUUGUAUGACUAGGCACACUCACACUUUUAUUUGUUCUUUAUUACCAAAAUUUUCAGUUCUUUAUAUGAACUGUGUGUUACUGUCACAUUUAAUAAAGAAAUCCUGCAUAAAAGAGCUCUCACACAUGUAAGUUUAAUGCUCCCAGCUUCAAUUCCUUUCUCUAAAAGGCUAUGAACCCACUUCUCUCGCCUUCCAGGUGAAGGUUUGAGUCAGUAAACUACAGGCUUAUGUGAAAGCAGAUGCUCUCAUGCCCUCUUAUUGUGAUUGUUCCACUUUAAUAUUAAAUAUAGUAUUAUCAUUCCGUAUUCAGUAGACCAGAAAGAGAGGGUGAACAAGCACCUGAACAGAAACACAACCAAAUAAUUUAGCUGUUAGAGUACUUACCUAAAAGAAAAAAAAAAAGGGACUCUGUUACUCUCCCUGCUACAAUGCAUACUUAAACUUUAGAUGCUUAAACUUUUACUGGCAUUUCAAAAGAAACCUAGACUUCUUAGGCAAACACUCUUAUAACAAGGCACAGGAGGUAUGUUUACAGGCCUCCCUCUCUGGUCUGCACCACAGAGAACUGUUUCAACAGGAAGGAUGAAGACUGAAGAAUAUCGUAAAGACCAAGGUUUAAAGUAUGGAGUAAUGAAUUAAAAAUGUCCACAAGACCACCAAGAAGAAGGGAAAUAUUUGAACAUCUAAACCUCUAAAUAGUGGAAAUAUAUGCUAAUGGCUAAUCCACAGAGGAACUGAUGAUAAAUAAGCAGGGAGAAAGAGAAACUGAAGGAACAUUUCCAUCAACCAGAACCAGAAUUAAUAUAUGUGUGCCCAUGUAUUUGAGGGACAGAGGAAGACUUCUUCUCUUGCUACUCAUUCAAAGAAACCACCUCCUGGAGACUGUGAAGCCCAGCCCUGGGCACACCUGCAGCGGGGACCUCUCCCCUGAGGACACGUGGCCGCAGCUCCCGGCUUUCUGCUGGAUGUCCCCAUCCCUGCCUUGCCGCCCGCAGGCUGCGCCGCAGGGAAGGGCUGAGCCAGCGAGGGGUCCCCACCUCGCCUGCCUGUGUGGGAGGGAGAGGGAACCAGGGCACGGUCUCGGGUCGCUGCCUGCUGAUCGCCUGCAGCACAGAGAUGAGCUGAGCGACGGGGUGAGCAAAAGCUAACCAGAAGAUGCUGUCCAAGAAGUUGGCCAAGAAAAAAAGCAGAGCUAACCUCAAGAUUCAUUAUCUUCCCAAAUAACAGAUUCCUGGUAACAGAAGCUACAGGACAAGGAGGAGGAGCUUGUGUUCCUGUCAGGAAUACAUUUCAACUCUGUUUUGGAAAUAAUUAGGAGUUGCACCAAUUCCUCCACAUCCCAAGUUUUGGCAUUGUUUCUUAUUAUACUGUGUGCUGCUUCAAACAAGAAAGGAGAACCAAAAAGGAGUCUGAUUUCUAAAA
Molecule: long non-coding RNA, 5240 nt
Organism: Pseudopipra pipra
Lineage: Eukaryota; Metazoa; Chordata; Aves; Passeriformes; Pipridae
Exons: 7
Source: RefSeq, a predicted model, not a curated record